AUUAAAACCUACAUAUUCUGCCUUUGCACGACGUUGCAGAAGUGAGGGAACCAACCAAGUUUGCUAAAGUAAUUGUGAUAGAAAUGUAUUAGCCUCAGGGGCUCCUGGGGUGGUCCAUGCUGUCAUAGUACAGUG
Small nucleolar RNA from Myotis daubentonii (Daubenton's bat), 135 nucleotides. NCBI's taxonomy places the organism in Eukaryota, Metazoa, Chordata, Mammalia, Chiroptera, Vespertilionidae. The record is from RefSeq and is a predicted model, not a curated record.